This 490-nucleotide ribosomal RNA is filed under the name uncultured bacterium. RNAcentral describes it as "partial 16S ribosomal RNA". It matches the Rfam family "Bacterial small subunit ribosomal RNA", at positions 30 to 507 of the family's 1533-position model. The record is from RNAcentral.
AUUGAACGCUGGCGGCAGGCCUAACACAUGCAAGUCGAAUGGUAACAGGAAACAGCUUGCUGUUUCGCUGACGAGUGGCGGACGGGUGAGUAAUGUCUGGGAAACUGCCUGAUGGAGGGGGAUAACUACUGGAAACGGUAGCUACUACCGCAUAACGUCGCAAGACUAAAGAGGGGGACCUUCGGGCCUCUUGCCAUCAGAUGUGCCCAGAUGGGAUUAGCUAGUAGGUGGGGUAACGGCUCACCUAGGCGACGAUCCCUAGCUGGUCUGAGAGGAUGACCAGCCACACUGGAACUGAGACACGGUCCAGACUCCUACGGGAGGCAGCAGUGGGGAAUAUUGCACAAUGGGCGCAAGCCUGAUGCAGCCAUGCCGCGUGUGUGAAGAAGGCCUUCGGGUUGUAAAGUACUUUCAGCGGGGAGGAAGGGAGUAAAGUUAAUACCUUUGCUCAUUGACGUUACCCGCAGAAGAAGCACCGGCUAACUCCGUG